This 253-nucleotide ribosomal RNA is filed under the name uncultured bacterium. RNAcentral describes it as "partial 16S ribosomal RNA". It matches the Rfam family "Bacterial small subunit ribosomal RNA", at positions 524 to 776 of the family's 1533-position model. The record is from RNAcentral.
UACAGAGGGGGCAAGCGUUAUUCGGCAUUAUUGGGCGUAAAGGGCGCGUAGGCGGCUUUGCAAGUGACGGGUGAAAGCCCUCGGCUUAACCGAGGAACUGCCUGUCAGACUGUGAGGCUUGAGACCGGGAGAGGUGAGUGGAAUUCCCAGUGUAGCGGUGAAAUGCGUAGAUAUCUGGAGGAACACCGGUGGCGAAGGCGGCAUUCUGGACUGUAACUGACACUGAGGAACGAAAGCCAGGGGAGCAAACGGG